This 492-nucleotide ribosomal RNA is filed under the name uncultured bacterium. Its description in RNAcentral is "partial 16S ribosomal RNA". It matches the Rfam family "Bacterial small subunit ribosomal RNA", at positions 29 to 507 of the family's 1533-position model. The record is from RNAcentral.
AGUGAACGCUGGCGGUAGGCCUAACACAUGCAAGUCGAACGGCAGCACAGUAAGAUCUUGCUCUUACGGGUGGCGAGUGGCGGACGGGUGAGGAAUACAUCGGAAUCUACUUUUUCGUGGGGGACAACGUAGGGAAACUUACGCUAAUACCGCAUACGACCUACGGGUGAAAGCAGGGGAUCUUCGGACCUUGCGCGAUUGAAUGAGCCGAUGUCGGAUUAGCUAGUUGGCGGGGUAAAGGCCCACCAAGGCGACGAUCCGUAGCUGGUCUGAGAGGAUGAUCAGCCACACUGGAACUGAGACACGGUCCAGACUCCUACGGGAGGCAGCAGUGGGGAAUAUUGGACAAUGGGCGCAAGCCUGACGCAGCCACACCGCGUGGGUGAUGAAGGCCUUCGGAUUGUAAAGCCCUGUUGUUGGGAAAGAAAAGCAGCAGGUUUAUCCACGCCUGUUUUGACGGUACCCAAAGAAUAAGCACCGGCUAACUUCGUG